Molecule: ribosomal RNA, 450 nt
Filed under: Colopea sp. NP6
Lineage: Eukaryota; Metazoa; Arthropoda; Arachnida; Araneae; Stenochilidae
Also listed under: 1 other name
Description: partial 16S ribosomal RNA
Rfam family: Bacterial large subunit ribosomal RNA
Source: RNAcentral
UUCUUAUAGAAUACAAUAAUUAUAAGUAAAACCUGCUCAAUGAAAUUUAAAUAGCCGCAAAUUAUUUGUGCUAAGGUAGCAUAAUCAUUUGUCUUAUAAAUGAAGACUAGUAUGAAAGGUCAAACGUUUACAAACUAUCUAAAUAUUAAAACAUAAAAAUUUAAAUAAAUAUAAAAAUAUAUUUAUCCAUAAAAAAGACGACAAGACCCUGUUGAAUUUUACUAUCUUAGUUUAACUGGGGCAGUUAAACAACAAAAUCUUAAUAAAAAAUACUAAAGCAAACAGAUCCAUUAACAAUGACCUAUUGAACAAAUUACCACAGGGAUAACAGCAUAAUUUAUGACAGUAGUCCUUAUAUACUCAUAAGCUUAUGACCUCGAUGUUGAAUAAUUUAACUAUUAUAAAGCAAAAAUUUAAAAAGUAGGUCUGUUCGACCUUUAAACAAUUACA